UCUGAAGUGGUGAGAUUAAAAGUAU
RNAcentral lists this non-coding RNA (25 nucleotides) under Cricetulus griseus (Chinese hamster). Lineage: Eukaryota; Metazoa; Chordata; Mammalia; Rodentia; Cricetidae. The record is from RNAcentral.